This 495-nucleotide ribosomal RNA is filed under the name uncultured bacterium. RNAcentral describes it as "partial 16S ribosomal RNA". It matches the Rfam family "Bacterial small subunit ribosomal RNA", at positions 28 to 507 of the family's 1533-position model. The record is from RNAcentral.
GACGAACGCUGGCGGCGUGCCUAAUACAUGCAAGUAGAACGCUGAAGGAGGAGCUUGCUUCUCUGGAUGAGUGGCGCACGGGUGAGUAAAGCGUAGGUAACCUGCAUGGAAGAGGGGGAUAACUAUUGGAAACAAUAGCUAAUACAGCAUAAUAGUUGAUGUUGCAUGACAUUUGCUUAAAAGGUGCAAUUGCAUCACUACCAGAAGGACCUGCGUCGUAUUAGCUAGUAGGUGGGGUAACGGCUGAUCAAGGCAACGAUACAUAGUCGACCUGGGGGGGGUGACGGCCACCCCGGGACUGGGACACGGCCCCGACUCCCUACGGGAGCAGCCGUAGGGGAACUUCGGCCAUUGGCGGAAGUCCUACCGGGCCACGCCGGGGGGGUGAAUGAGGUUUUCGGGUCCUAAAGCUCUUUUGUUUGGGAAGAACCAGUUUGGGAAUUGAAUGUUCACACUGUGACGGUAUCUUACCAGAAAGCCACGGCUAACUACGUG